Molecule: long non-coding RNA, 2108 nt
Filed under: Nicotiana tabacum (common tobacco)
Lineage: Eukaryota; Viridiplantae; Streptophyta; Magnoliopsida; Solanales; Solanaceae
Description: long non-coding RNA (NTAB_LNC004380)
Source: RNAcentral
AAGGAUUCAAUGAAUAAUUUAUUCCGUUGUAAAAGUCUGAAAUGUAGCUUACAAUGAAUGCAGCAACUGAAAUUUUACAGAAUUUAUUAAAGAGAAACUUAUGAGAAAUUACACGGCGAUCUUCCAAAUUGCUCUGGCUACAGAUAAAAAGAACCAGUGUGUUAAUAUCUCAGUAAGUAUAGUAAUUAAUACUGUAGUACUUUUAUUUCAAGAACUUUUAUCUUUAUCAAAUUAACAUACUUCUAAAUAAAUAAUAAAGCUUUAAACAAGGUGUCAAAUAAAAGGAAUAGUUAGUAAAACCAAGUGUUUAUUGUAAGGGAAAUGAGACUGCAUGUAGUAGUAGUAUCUCGGUUACCUGAAUUCUGAUUGUCACACCUCCUUUUCACUAUCCCGAAAAGGCGUAUAAGGGAGUUUUUUCAAUUUAAGUAAUAUUAUUUAAAAUAGAAUUAUUUUAUUUAAUUUCUCAGAGUCGCCACUUGGAAUAGUUUAAUUGGUGUUCCAAGUCACCGGUUUACUUUAAAUCCCAAAUCGAGAAAAUUCGACUUUCCUUUUGAAGUCUGCGAACCAGAAAUUCUAAGUAAGGAAUUCUGUUAACCGGGGAGAAGGUGUUAGGCAUUCACGGAUUCCGUAGUUCUAGUAUGGUCGCUUAAACUAUUAUAAUUGGCCUAUUAUCUGAUUUUAAUACAUCUUUUAACCUAUGAUAUAUUUUAACUUUGUUAAACCGCUUUUAAUUAUUUUUAGGAAGAUUCAACGUUAUUUAAAAUAUACCUUGAACCGCGCCACAUGAAAUGCACCCGCGAUCCACGACACAUUUUAUCUAACGUUGUUGAGAAUUGGAGUUGAGUCACAUGAAAUGCACACCCGAAUUUAAGGAAAUUAAUUUAAAAUAGCGCGCCUAAAGCAACUACGAUUGAUAAUUCUUACCAUAUUUGGGGUUCAUUGUUAGGCCAAAAGAUUAUAGAUACAGAAGUUGUGGAAGGAGUGAACUAACUUAUUAAAUGGAAGAUAAGCCAAAAAUAUUAUUUAAAGAAAAGGUUUACUGGACUUGAAUCAAAUUCACAAAUAGAAUCAAGUAGACCAAUCUAAUUUCAUUUUCUAAGUUCUAUAGGACUAAACAUAGGACCAAUUUUCAAAUGAGUAAAUUAACAAAUGCUCCAAAACAACAAAUCAAGCAAACGUCAGAAAACAAUUACGUAAUUGGUUUAUCCCAUUUUUUUAUUACAUAAAAUCACAAUCUAUUUAAUGGAACAAUUUUAUCUUCUACACCCAUACAAUUAUAAUCCAAACAAAUCACAAAAAUAGGAUAGAGCCAACGUAUUGAAAUUUUCAAACAAAGAAAACAGUGCACAUUCAACAAAAAUACUAACACAACAAUUAAUAGGACAAAACAGCAAAAAUCAGAAGACAACUGACAAUAAAAAUUUAUUAGGAGCGAAACAGUAAAAAAGAAUAAACCUCAACUGAAACAACGAUUUUUCAUUGAACCAAGCCUCCGGCAAAACUCAUACAGUGAUCGAUUUUGACUCACACUAGAGAUCCGACGACAGAGCUUAGGUCUAAAAUCGAUUUAAGACUAGAAUUGCAAACGAAAAAACCUUGUUUGGACCUCACACAUAAGCUGUUCGGCGACCUCGACUCAACUCUCGAUGCUACUGCUUUUGUGCGAAAAGGACUGCAUUUUUUCUGCUUUUUUUAGUGGUUUUGGGUGAAGUUAAGGACUGCUUUGAGGAUGGAUUUGAGCAGAUUUUCAGUUGCUAUUUCAGGUGUUUUGGAGUUAGUGUUCAUUAGUUUUUGGUGGAAUUUGAAGGUUGCUUCAAUAGUGGAGGAAGGCUGAGUGCUUUUGGAGCUUUUACAUGGUGAAAAUGGAGGUUUUUCGUUGGAUUUUUGGAUGAACAGGGAAGAAGGAAUGUUUGCUGAAGCGUUCUGUUCUUAAGGAAGAAGAAGAUGGGAGUCAGACUCCCAAUCCUCAACUGCGGCUGUCAGCUUUUGGUCGCCCUUUCCUUUCUUUUCGUUAACUCCCUCUUUUGGAUUUUGUUUUUUUAAUCCAAUCUUCUGGAAAACGGCGGAUUCAAUAUGAUUUUUUUAGUUGUAGGUCUAUGUAGGGAUUA